Molecule: RNA transcript, 2008 nt
Organism: Prunus avium (sweet cherry)
Lineage: Eukaryota; Viridiplantae; Streptophyta; Magnoliopsida; Rosales; Rosaceae
Gene name: PPR containing protein
Source: RefSeq, a predicted model, not a curated record
GCCCAAUUUAUAUCCCUACAGGCUACACCUCCGCAAGUAUAAGCAUACAAGAAAAGUGGCGUCUACCUGGCUUGGGUUGGGAGCUGGUGCGGCAGAUCGGUGGGAGGCUUGGAAGCGCUUUUGGCAUCCGAAAGCUGAGUUUGCAAUUAAAAAGGGGAAGAAGACGACGAAUGAGAUGAAUUCGAAGGGCUUUCAGUUAAAAUAAAUUUGGAAGAAAUGGGGAGUAGGGUUCCAGUGCAGCACUACAACAUGAGAUCGCCUAAUUCCUACAUUGGAAACCCUCUUCACGACCUCAACACCGUCGAUGCUCGCCCCUCCGCCGAAAUCGACUCCAUCAGCGACGUCGACCGCGACGCCGUCACUGAGCAUAGCCUCGACAACGACGACGGUUCCAGUGCCGUUGUUAAUGACUGUAUACAUGAAUCCUACACCAACUCUUUACCCAUCCACAGCGUCCGCGUAGGAGUUGAAGAAGACCGCUCGCGCCUUGAAAACCAUGGCGGCUCUUCCAGUUCCAGGGCUCCCUACGAUCUCUUAUCACUUCAAGAUGUGUCACCUAUUGAAUCAGCAAGGGCACGAUUUCUGCAACUUAUUGUGGAUCAUUUUAUUAGUGAACAUGUCGUUGAAGUGCCUAAUUCUGAGGCUGCUGCUGACUAUGAUAGUGCUCAGUCUGGCCAAGACAAACUCAAUAAGAGAAAGCCCGGGGAGGUCCGAUAUGAAGGGGACCCUAGACUGGCUUUGCCCCUGAUGUAUGUCGCAAAUAUGUACCAAACUUUGGUUAAUGAAGCAAAUAUUAGGCUUGAUUCCUUGAGUGGAUUUCGUGAGAAGACAAUUGGGGUUGCCCUUGAAGCUUCGGGUGGGUUGUACAGAUGCCUGGCUAAGAAAUUUCCAAAAAAAGGACCGUGUACAUUUAAAAGAAGAGAGUUGGCCACAUCUAUCGAAACAAGGACAAGAUUUCCAGAGUUGGUCAUACAAGACGAGAAGCGAGUUCGUUUUGUUGUAGUAAAUGGUUUGGAUAUUGUUGAAAAUCCUAAUAACAUGCCUACUGAUGAUGCAGAGUGGUUCAAACGAUUGACUGGUCGGAAUGAAGUAGCAGUCUAUGCUCGAGACUUUAAGUUCUAUUCUCCAAGACACAAGUAUAGACGUGUUGCAACAAACUCUUCACCUAAUAUUGCUGGUUUACCAACAUUUCCUGGCACUGAUAAUUCUUCCAUUUUGGCUGCUGCUCAGGGAUUCCGCUCCGUAAGUGAACCACAAAAUCAGCAGACGACUCCGUGUAAGCAUCAUAUGCAACCCUUGUUGCACCAACCUCAGUUUCAGCCUGUUCACCAGACUCAUCACCAAUCCAUCAACCAAAGUCCACAUGCUGUUCAUUAUUCUCAAAACCAUCAAUGUGGUGCUGCCUCGCACCUGCCCGAAAUUGCUCAUGCUCACCAUUCACCGACUAUAUCGCAACACAUGGUUUGCUUACAACCCCUCACAGGAGGCCAUGUAGGGGGGCGCAUGCAUGUAUUGCCAUCCAGUCCUGCCAAGUUUUGCGACGAAUGUGGGGUUCCAUACUUGAGAGAAACCUCUAAGUUCUGCUCAGAAUGUGGCGUUAAGAGGUUGGGAGUAUAAUAUGGCCUCUUAUCAAUUCUUCACUGCCCACCAUGAAGUAUAUUGAGUUCACAGCCAUGAAAACAUGAGGAAUCUACAGAAGAGCAGAUCUGCAUGCCAAUUUGUUCAUUCAACAAUUGGCUGCUGGAAAUAAAAAAUCAGCAACGACCAGAGGAAUGGUAAUCUUUUGAUUCGUUUUGGUGGGAGAGUGAGAAAUGCAAGAGAAGAGAAGCGCGAGGUAAAGUAAGCAAUUAUGCAAGUUGGGGGCUGGGCCCACAUGAUUGGGUUUCAUAUGGCAUCUGGGCCGCCCCUUCAGACUAACUUUGUACAAAAUGCCCAAUUCUUCUUGUUCCGGUUCUGUUUUAGUAAUUGACUAGCCUACGGCCUACACUACAGGCAGGUUAUUAUUUAA